AGUUUGAUCCUGGCUCAGGAUGAACGCUGGCGGCGUGCUUAACACAUGCAAGUCGAACGGAACUGUCAUUUUUGAAGCAAUUAGCCUGCUAAGGGUGGAAAUGUUGGCAGUUUAGUGGCGGACGGGUGAGUAACGCGUGGGUAACCUGCCUUACACAGGGGGAUAACACCUGGAAACAGGUGCUAAUACCGCAUAACAGGAAGAGGCGCAUGCCACUUUCUUGAAAACUCCGGUGGUGUAAGAUGGACCCGCGUCUGAUUAGCUGGUUGGCGGGGUAACGGCCCACCAAGGCGACGAUCAGUAGCCGGCCUGAGAGGGUGGACGGCCACAUUGGGACUGAGACACGGCCCAAACUCCUACGGGAGGCAGCAGUGGGGAAUAUUGGACAAUGGGGGGAACCCUGAUCCAGCGACGCCGCGUGAGUGAAGAAGUAUUUCGGUAUGUAAAGCUCUAUCAGCAGGGAAGAAAGAAAUGACGGUACCUGACUAAGAAGCCCCGGCUAACUACGUGCCAGCAGCCGCGGUAAUACGUAGGGGGCAAGCGUUAUCCGGAUUUACUGGGUGUAAAGGGAGCGUAGACGGUUAAGCAAGUCUGAAGUGAAAGGCGGGGGCUCAACCCCCGGACUGCUUUGGAAACUGUUUUUCUUGAGUACCGGAGAGGUCAUCGGAAUUCCUUGUGUAGCGGUGAAAUGCGUAGAUAUAAGGAAGAACACCAGUGGCGAAGGCGGAUGACUGGACGGCAACUGACGGUGAGGCGCGAAAGCGUGGGGAGCAAACAGGAUUAGAUACCCUGGUAGUCCACGCUGUAAACGAUGGAUACUAGGUGUGCGGGGACUGACCCCCUGCGUGCCGCAGUUAACACAAUAAGUAUCCCACCUGGGGAGUACGAUCGCAAGGUUGAAACUCAAAGGAAUUGACGGGGGCCCGCACAAGCGGUGGAUUAUGUGGUUUAAUUCGAAGCAACGCGAAGAACCUUACCCGGGCUCAAACGACACAGGAAUACUUUUGAAAGGAAGUAGCUCUACGGAGCCUGUGUCGAGGUGCUGCAUGGUUGUCGUCAGCUCGUGCCGUGAGGUGUCGGCUUAAGUGCCAUAACGAGCGCAACCCCCAUCGCCAGUUACCAGCAAGUCAAGUUGGGGACUCUGGCGAGACUGCCGGCGCAAGCUGUGAGGAAGGCGGGGAUGACGUCAAAUCAGCACGGCCCUUACGUCCGGGGCGACACACGUGUUACAAUGGCAGGUACAGAGAGAAGCAAUGCGGCGACGCAAAGCGGAACUUGAAAGCCUGUCUCAGUUCGGAUUGGAGUCUGCAACUCGACUCCAUGAAGCUGGAUUCGCUAGUAAUCGCGCAUCAGCCAUGGCGCGGUGAAUACGUUCCCGGGCCUUGCACUCACCGCCCGUCA
This 1401-nucleotide ribosomal RNA is filed under the name uncultured bacterium. RNAcentral describes it as "partial 16S ribosomal RNA". It matches the Rfam family "Bacterial small subunit ribosomal RNA". The record is from RNAcentral.